CUACGGGGCGCUGCAGUGAGGAAUAUUGCACAAUGGGGGGAACCCUGAUGCAGCAACGCCGCGUGGAGGAUGACGCAUUUCGGUGUGUAAACUCCUUUUAUAUGUCAAGAAAAUGACGGUAGCAUAUGAAUAAGCACCGUCUAACUCCGUGCCGGCAGCCGCGGUAAUACGGAGGGUGCAAGCGUUACUCGGAAUCACUGGGCGUAAAGGACGCGUAGGCGGGUUGGAAAGUCAGGUGUGAAAUCCUACAGCUUAACUGUAGAACUGCACUUGAAACUUCUAAUCUAGAGUAUGGGAGGGGGAGAUGGAAUUAGUGGUGUAGGGGUAAAAUCCGUAGAUAUCACUAGGAAUACCUAAAGCGAAGGCGAUCUCCUGGAACAUUACUGACGCUAAGGCGUGAAAGCGUGGGGAGCAAACAGGAUUAGAUACCCCAGUAGUC
This 439-nucleotide ribosomal RNA is filed under the name uncultured bacterium. RNAcentral describes it as "partial 16S ribosomal RNA". It matches the Rfam family "Bacterial small subunit ribosomal RNA", at positions 339 to 795 of the family's 1533-position model. The record is from RNAcentral.